UACGUAGGGGGCUAGCGUUGUCCGGAAUCAUUGGGCGUAAAGAGCGUGUAGGCGGUCCGGUAAGUCCGCUGUGAAAGUCGGGGGCUCAACCCUCGAAUGCCGGUGGAUACUGUCGGGCUAGAGUACGGAAGAGGUGAGUGGAAUUCCUGGUGUAGCGGUGAAAUGCGCAGAUAUCAGGAGGAACACCGGUGGCGAAGGCGGAUCUCUGGGCCUUACCUGACGCUCAGGUGCGAAAGCUAGGGGAGCGAACAGG
RNAcentral lists this ribosomal RNA (253 nucleotides) under uncultured bacterium. RNAcentral describes it as "partial 16S ribosomal RNA". It matches the Rfam family "Bacterial small subunit ribosomal RNA", at positions 524 to 776 of the family's 1533-position model. The record is from RNAcentral.